This 253-nucleotide ribosomal RNA is filed under the name uncultured bacterium. RNAcentral describes it as "partial 16S ribosomal RNA". It matches the Rfam family "Bacterial small subunit ribosomal RNA", at positions 524 to 776 of the family's 1533-position model. The record is from RNAcentral.
UACGUAGGGGGCGAGCGUUGUCCGAAGUUACUGGGCGUAAAGAGCGCGUAGGCGGGUCUUUAAGUGAGAGGUGAAAGGUUUGGGCUUAACCCAGACACUGCCUUUCAUACUGGGGACCUUGAGUAUGGGAGAGGCGAGUGGAAUGGUCGGUGUAGCGGUGAAAUGCGUAGAUAUCGAUCGGAACACCCAUGGCGAAGGCAGCUCGCUGGCCUAUAACUGACGCUGAGGCGCGAAAGCGUGGGGAGCAAACAGG